UUAAGCGACUAAGCGUACACGGUGGAUGCCCUGGCAGUCAGAGGCGAUGAAGGACGUGCUAAUCUGCGAAAAGCGUCGGUAAGGUGAUAUGAACCGUUAUAACCGGCGAUGUCCGAAUGGGGAAACCCAGUGCAAUUCGUUGCACUAUCGUUAACUGAAUACAUAGGUUAACGAGGCGAACCGGGGGAACUGAAACAUCUAAGUACCCCGAGGAAAAGAAAUCAACCGAGAUUCCCCCAGUAGCGGCGAGCGAACGGGGAGCAGCCCAGAGUCUGAAUCAGCUUGUGUGUUAGUGGAACGGUCUGGAAAGUCCGACGGUACAGGGUGAUAGUCCCGUACACCAAAAUGCACAGGCUGUGAACUCGAAGAGUAGGGCGGGACACGUGGUAUCCUGUCUGAAUAUGGGGGGACCAUCCUCCAAGGCUAAAUACUCCUGACUGACCGAUAGUGAACCAGUACCGUGAGGGAAAGGCGAAAAGAACCCCGGCGAGGGGAGUGAAAAAGAACCUGAAACCGUGUACGUACAAGCAGUGGGAGCACCUUCGGGUGUGACUGCGUACCUUUUGUAUAAUGGGUCAGCGACUUAUAUUCUGUAGCAAGGUUAACCGUAUAGGGGAGCCGCAGGGAAACCGAGUCUUAACUGGGCGUUAAGUUGCAGGGUAUAGACCCGAAACCCGGUGAUCUAGCCAUGGGCAGGUUGAAGGUUGGGUAACACUAACUGGAGGACCGAACCGACUAAUGUUGAAAAAUUAGCGGAUGACUUGUGGCUGGGGGUGAAAGGCCAAUCAAACCGGGAGAUAGCUGGUUCUCCCCGAAAGCUAUUUAGGUAGCGCCUCGUGAAUUCAUCUUCGGGGGUAGAGCACUGUUUCGGCUAGGGGGUCAUCCCGACUUACCAACCCGAUGCAAACUACGAAUACCGAAGAAUGUUAUCACGGGAGACACACGGCGGGUGCUAACGUCCGUCGUGAAGAGGGAAACAACCCAGACCGCCAGCUAAGGUCCCAAAGUCAUGGUUAAGUGGGAAACGAUGUGGGAAGGCACAGACAGCCAGGAUGUUGGCUUAGAAGCAGCCAUCAUUUAAAGAAAGCGUAAUAGCUCACUGGUCGAGUCGGCCUGCGCGGAAGAUGUAACGGGGCUAAACCAUGCACCGAAGCUGCGGCAGCGACACUAUGUGUUGUUGGGUAGGGGAGCGUUCUGUAAGCCUGCGAAGGUGACCUGUGAGGGUUGCUGGAGGUAUCAGAAGUGCGAAUGCUGACAUAAGUAACGAUAAAGCGGGUGAAAAGCCCGCUCGCCGGAAGACCAAGGGUUCCUGUCCAACGUUAAUCGGGGCAGGGUGAGUCGACCCCUAAGGCGAGGCCGAAAGGCGUAGUCGAUGGGAAACAGGUUAAUAUUCCUGUACUUGGUGUUACUGCGAAGGGGGGACGGAGAAGGCUAUGUUAGCCGGGCGACGGUUGUCCCGGUUUAAGCAUGUAGGCUGGUUAUCCAGGCAAAUCCGGAUAAUCAAGGCUGAGGUGUGAUGACGAGGCACUACGGUGCUGAAGUAACAAAUGCCCUGCUUCCAGGAAAAGCCUCUAAGCAUCAGGUAACAUUAAAUCGUACCCCAAACCGACACAGGUGGUCAGGUAGAGAAUACCAAGGCGCUUGAGAGAACUCGGGUGAAGGAACUAGGCAAAAUGGUGCCGUAACUUCGGGAGAAGGCACGCUGGUGUGUAGGUGAAGUCCCUGCGGAUGGAGCUGAGACCAGUCGAAGAUACCAGCUGGCUGCAACUGUUUAUUAAAAACACAGCACUGUGCAAACACGAAAGUGGACGUAUACGGUGUGACGCCUGCCCGGUGCCGGAAGGUUAAUUGAUGGGGUUAUCCGUAAGGAGAAGCUCUUGAUCGAAGCCCCGGUAAACGGCGGCCGUAACUAUAACGGUCCUAAGGUAGCGAAAUUCCUUGUCGGGUAAGUUCCGACCUGCACGAAUGGCGUAAUGAUGGCCAGGCUGUCUCCACCCGAGACUCAGUGAAAUUGAACUCGCUGUGAAGAUGCAGUGUACCCGCGGCAAGACGGAAAGACCCCGUGAACCUUUACUAUAGCUUGACACUGAACAUUGAGCCUUGAUGUGUAGGAUAGGUGGGAGGCUUUGAAGCGUGGACGCCAGUCUGCGUGGAGCCGACCUUGAAAUACCACCCUUUAAUGUUUGAUGUUCUAACGUUGGCCCCUUACCGGGGUUGCGGACAGUGUCUGGUGGGUAGUUUGACUGGGGCGGUCUCCUCCCAAAGCGUAACGGAGGAGCACGAAGGUUAGCUAAUCCUGGUCGGACAUCAGGAGGUUAGUGCAAUGGCAUAAGCUAGCUUGACUGCGAGCGUGACGGCGCGAGCAGGUGCGAAAGCAGGUCAUAGUGAUCCGGUGGUUCUGAAUGGAAGGGCCAUCGCUCAACGGAUAAAAGGUACUCCGGGGAUAACAGGCUGAUACCGCCCAAGAGUUCAUAUCGACGGCGGUGUUUGGCACCUCGAUGUCGGCUCAUCACAUCCUGGGGCUGAAGUAGGUCCCAAGGGUAUGGCUGUUCGCCAUUUAAAGUGGUACGCGAGCUGGGUUUAGAACGUCGUGAGACAGUUCGGUCCCUAUCUGCCGUGGGCGCUGGAGAAUUGAGGGGGGCUGCUCCUAGUACGAGAGGACCGGAGUGGACGCAUCACUGGUGUUCGGGUUGUCAUGCCAAUGGCACUGCCCGGUAGCUAAAUGCGGAAGAGAUAAGUGCUGAAAGCAUCUAAGCACGAAACUUGCCCCGAGAUGAGUUCUCCCUGAGACUUUAAGUCUCCUGAAGGAACGUUGAAGACGACGACGUUGAUAGGCCGGGUGUGUAAGCGCAGCGAUGCGUUGAGCUAACCGGUACUAAUGAACCGUGAGGCUUAACCUU
Molecule: ribosomal RNA, 2900 nt
Filed under: Klebsiella pneumoniae
Lineage: Bacteria; Pseudomonadati; Pseudomonadota; Gammaproteobacteria; Enterobacterales; Enterobacteriaceae
Description: bacterial LSU rRNA
Rfam family: Bacterial large subunit ribosomal RNA
Source: RNAcentral